RNAcentral lists this transfer-messenger RNA (370 nucleotides) under human gut metagenome. It matches the Rfam family "transfer-messenger RNA". From Rfam's summary of the family: Bacterial tmRNA, also known as 10Sa RNA or SsrA, is named for its dual tRNA and mRNA-like properties. Its role is to liberate the mRNA from a stalled ribosome. To accomplish this part of the tmRNA is used as a reading frame that ends in a translation stop signal. The record is from RNAcentral.
GGGGAUGUAAAGGCUUCGACAGGGUUGUUGAAGUUGGAAUAGCGGGUAGAGGAUGCGCGUUGGCCUCUUAAAAAAACGGGCAAAAAAUUUAGUUGCAAAAACUAAUAGAUUAGCUGUAGCUGCGUAAGCUCGGCCACAGAUUCGAUAAAUCUGCUAGUUGAAUAUCUGUGUUAGUCAGCAGACCUUGAAAGUCGGAGGUUAAAUUUUCCCAUUUCAAGCUAAGCUUUGCCCUUGGAAUUAUUAUGAAGCUACUUUUAUCAGCGAUUGUUCAACGUCUAACUGAUGAAGGGAAUUUUUAAAGUUUGGACUGCACCCGGAGAAGUUCCGACUAAGAUGAUUUUGGACACGAGUUCGAUUCUCGUCAUCUCCA